Molecule: long non-coding RNA, 2621 nt
Organism: Ailuropoda melanoleuca (giant panda)
Lineage: Eukaryota; Metazoa; Chordata; Mammalia; Carnivora; Ursidae
Exons: 4
Source: RefSeq, a predicted model, not a curated record
CAGAGCGUCAGCAGCCAGAGGGCAGUCUGGACAGGAGCUGGGGGAGAACAGGUAGACCAGAAGACCAAGGAGAAGGAAUUUCGAAAGACAUCAUGCAAUGAAACGUCUUCCUGCGUUUGUGGUCAGAUUUCUCCCUGCUUGAACCUUUCAAAGGAUUCCACCGUGACCCCGUGCUCUUAGAACAGAGCCCGAGCUCCUUGGGCACCCGCAAGCCCUGUCUGGAGCUUCCUUGAGGCCAGGGAGACUAGACCUUACCUCUGGAUGCCCAAAGCCCAGCACAAGCCCGGCCCCAAGAAAAAGCUUGAUAGAAUAAAUGUGAUGGUAAAUGAGCCAGAAUCCUGAAGGCUCUCAGUUCCCGUCAGUGCCUGUCUCUGACUGAGCACCUACGAUGCACCUGGAUCCGUGCAGAGCUGGGAGCUUCGCCCCCCCCCCCGGGGGGGGGACGGGAGCCGGGAUGCGACUCAGGCCCUGGCCUGGGCUGCAGAGGAAGGGCAGGCUCUCUGUGCUUGGAGCGGACUCUGGAAGAGCUUCCUGGAGAAGGUACUAUUCGGGCUGCAGUCUGAAGAAGGAAAGAUGUUUCUGAGGAAGAUAUCAGCAUGUUCAAAGGCCCGGAGGUGGGGCUAGGCAAGCAGUUUUCAAACAACAGUAAGCAGCACCCUUUGGCCCAAAUAUGGGCCAGACCAGGGAGGCGUGAAAGGGUGCAGUGAACUCAAACAGGAGGACCUCGAGGCAGCCCUGGGCUCCCAUCUUCCGCGACCGGGGGCGUGUGGCCUUGCUCUGUUCCCUUCUCCUCUGUGCGAGCUGGUUUGCGGCUGAGAGAACCGUGGACUGGAAAUGUGGCAGCUGAGACUGAGACGUGUGGCGCACUCGUCCCUGCCUGCUGGGUCCGGCAGCGCAGACACUGGCCAUUAGCUCCUGGGGAGUGUCUGUACUGUCAUUUUUGAGGCUGCGCGAUGUGGUGGGGACGGGCCCACGCUCUAGGGCCAGACGGCAUAGGUUCAAACCCCAGCUCGGCCCCACACUAACUGGAUCCUGGCACAGGGUCCCUAAGCUUUCUCCGCCGUAGAGAUAAUGUGAACACUUAUCAGGUUGUUGUUGCGGGGGUUCAGUGAGCUCCGACCAGACACGGGGCCCCUAGCCGCGACCCCCAUCCUGGUGUUUCUGCACUCGGUGCUCCAGGCAGCCACUGUCAUCGAUGGCUGCUUUACCUGGUUUAACCGGCUCUCCCCACUGGAGGGGGGGGACCGCACGUGCGGGAGACAGGAAGUCCUUCCCAGGGUCUCAGUGACUUAGCAGAGCUGGAGUUCACUGUCCCCUGAGGGACACUGUCCCCUGUGCCUGCAGGAAGAAUCCUGUAAGUAAGAACACAUACAGGGUUGGAAAGAGCUUAGUCCCGCUCUGUGAAGGGGCUAGCUGGUCUCCCAGCCCUCCCAGCUCUGCUGGCUGUGACUGUCACCCCCAGGGCUGGCCCAGGGGAGUGAGUUAGUCCUGGGCGUGGGGGAUGGCCAGUGCCCCCUCCUCUCAGGCACCGUCUCCCCACUCCUGGGGUCUAGUGAGCCUAGAGUUUCUGGUGCAGGGCUCCUCCCCAUGCUCUCCUGGGCCCUUACUGCUGCCCCUUCUCGGGAGCUCCAGCUCCAGCCUGGGGUCUAUGGCUUCUCAGGGCAAACUGUGGGACCCCUCAAGGGACCCGCUCUGGUCUCUGGGUGGGCCAGUUCCAGCGGCCUGCAUGAGCCUUCAGAGACACUCUGGUGCCAGAUGGCCUGGGUCUGAGGGGCUUUGGGAGAGAUGAGGCCUCCAGCUUUGCGACCAGAACCUCUUCCAGAUCCUCCCUGGUGUUCCAGUCCUUGGGGAGUAGACCCAAGGAGGAGCUUCCAAGGUGUGGGUCAAAGACCCCCUGCACCAGAAUCACCUGGGGCUGGGACGGGGCAGACCCAUGAAACAGGCCGUUCUCUCGACCUUGCACGAAAGCUACUGCAUUCGAGUCCGGGGGACUGGGGUCCGGGAACCUGUGGGGUAGCAAGCUCCCCUGGGGGAUCCUGAACAUUCAAGUGGGAGAAGCUCGGAGUCAAGGGGCAACAGGGUUGGGGAAGCCCUCGGUACCAGGAAUCCUAGUACUGUUUGCGCCUCAAUGCCCCACUUCCUGAAAGAUGCCAGGGAAUCAGUCUGUCCGAUGAGCAAGCCUCAGCCUGAGCCUUCUCCUCUCCCCAGCUGCCUACACUGCUCACACAUCCCCGCAGUUUCUAAAUUCAAAAUGGGGCCAUUUGAGCUGUGUGUCAACUCCCUUCCCCUGGGCGCCGUGCCUUAGGAGGCUGCCCACUGGGGAGGCGUCCGGGCUCCCAUUCUUCGGAGCCUUGCAGGCAGGGGCCAAGGAAGGCACGGGAGGGCACGGGGAAGGCCAGGGGUGCGGGCUUUCCUGGCCUAGAGCCUGCCUCUGACCUUCUGGACACAGCGAGGGCCUCCUAAGCCCCUUUCUCCCAGAAGUCCCCUGCUUUGCCCCCCAUCGCCAGUGGCAGUUUGGGUACCAGCCAACUCACCUGCAGAGAGACACCCGUACCGGGCCCUGGCGCUGGUGCUGGCGUGGGGUGGACGAGUCUGACACCCACUCUGCCCCUGCAGAUGGU